Molecule: ribosomal RNA, 440 nt
Filed under: uncultured bacterium
Lineage: Bacteria
Description: partial 16S ribosomal RNA
Rfam family: Bacterial small subunit ribosomal RNA
Source: RNAcentral
CCUACGGGAGGCAGCAGUGGGGAAUAUUGCACAAUGGGGGAAACCCUGAUGCAGCGACGCCGCGUGAGUGAAGAAGUAUUUCGGUACGUAAAGCUCUAUCAGCAGGGAAGAAAAUGACGGUACCUGACUAAGAAGCCCCGGCUAACUACGUGCCAGCAGCCGCGGUAAUACGUAGGGGGCAAGCGUUAUCCGGAUUUACUGGGUGUAAAGGGAGCGUAGACGGCAGCGCAAGUCUGGAGUGAAAUCCCAUGGCUUAACCAUGGAACCGCUUUGGAAACUGUGCAGCUAGAGUGCAGGAGAGGUAAGCGGAAUUCCUAGUGUAGCGGUGAAAUGCGUAGAUAUUAGGAGGAACACCAGUGGCGAAGGCGGCUUACUGGACUGUAACUGACGUUGAGGCUCGAAAGCGUGGGGAGCAAACAGGAUUAGAUACCCGAGUAGUC